CAACGUGUCAUCCGCGUAACACACAACGC
This 29-nucleotide small RNA is filed under the name Bombyx mori (domestic silkworm). Its description in RNAcentral is "ovarian small RNA-2537". The record is from RNAcentral. Lineage: Eukaryota; Metazoa; Arthropoda; Insecta; Lepidoptera; Bombycidae.